This 684-nucleotide long non-coding RNA is filed under the name Nicotiana benthamiana. RNAcentral describes it as "long non-coding RNA (NBEN_LNC032546)". Lineage: Eukaryota; Viridiplantae; Streptophyta; Magnoliopsida; Solanales; Solanaceae. The record is from RNAcentral.
CCCUUGGUGCUACCAAGCUUCUCAGACCCUUUUCGGAAAUCAUUGAUUCUUUGGGGAUAAAAGACCCUUUUAUACGAAAUUGGCUGGAUCUCCUGGCCUUCUUGCUUGCCGGGGUCAAAACUAACGGCAUACUCUCAGCAGAAAUGGUAAUUAUGGAACAUGCAUAUUACCUUAUAGAGAUAUUUCUUGGAAGUUAAUGUUGUUUGCAUAUAUCAGAAAGCCUUCUUGCUUGCCGGGGUAAAAACUAACGGCAUACUCUCAGCAGAAAUGGUAAUUAUGGGACAUGCAUAUUACCUUAUAGAGAUAUUUCUUGGAAGUUAAUUUUGUUUGCGUCUAUCAAAAAAAAUUGCUUGAUCUUUGCUCAAGUGUCUCAUAAUCAUGCGUGUUGCUUCCUCCGUGAUGUUAUUUGUAAAAAUAUGGUGACAAGUAGCUGUUUUUUCUCUUAGUAUUUUAGAAUUCAUCAGUUGCACUAUAGGCAUUAAAUACUGCAUUCUACUUCUACAGGAGGACCUCACACACUAAUAUGGUGACAAGCUAGCUGUUUUUUCUCUUAGGAUUUUAGAAUACAUCAGUUGCACUAUAGACAUUAAAUACUGCAUUCUACUUCUACAUGAGGACCUCACACACUAAUAUUGGAAUCCGGAAUUUUACCUUUUAGAUUAAUAUGCUAAUUUUGGUUUUGCG